UACGGAAGGCAGCAGUGGGGGAAUAUUGGACAAUGGGCGGAAGCCUGAUCCAGCCAUGCCGCGUGUGUGAAGAAGGCCUUUUGGUUGUAAAGCACUUUUAAAGCGAGGUAGGAGGCUCUCCUAGUUAAUACCUAGGAAGAGUGGACGUUACUCGCAGAAUAAGCACCGGCUAACUCUGUGCCAGCAGCCGCGGUAAUACAGAGGGUGCGAGCGUUAAUCGGAUUUACUGGGCGUAAAGCGUGCGUAGGCGGCUGAUUAAGUCGGAUGUGUAAAAUCCCUGAGCUUAACUUAGGAAUUUGCAUUCGAUACUGGUCAGCUAGAGUAUGGGAGAGGAUGGUAGAAUUCCAGGUGUAGCGGUGAAAUGCGUAGAGAUCUGGAGGAAUCCGAUGGGCGAAGGGCAGGCCAUCUGGGCCUAAUACUGACGCUGAGGUACGAAAGCAUGGGGAAGCGAAACAGGGAUUAGAUACC
This 468-nucleotide ribosomal RNA is filed under the name uncultured bacterium. Its description in RNAcentral is "bacterial SSU rRNA". It matches the Rfam family "Bacterial small subunit ribosomal RNA", at positions 340 to 786 of the family's 1533-position model. The record is from RNAcentral.